This 253-nucleotide ribosomal RNA is filed under the name uncultured bacterium. RNAcentral describes it as "partial 16S ribosomal RNA". It matches the Rfam family "Bacterial small subunit ribosomal RNA", at positions 524 to 776 of the family's 1533-position model. The record is from RNAcentral.
UAGAGAGGUCCCGAGCGUUGCUCGGAUUUACUGGGCGUAAUGGGUGUGCAGGUGGUUAGAUAAGUCAGAUGUGAAGUCCCUUUGCUCAACGAAGGAACUGCAUUUGAUACUGUCCAGCUAGAGGACCGGAGGGGGAAGCGGAACUCUCGGUGUAGCGGUGAAAUGCGUGGAUAUCGAGAGGAACACCGGUGGCGAAGGUGGCUUCCGGGACGGUACAUGACGCUGAUACACGGAAGCUAGGGGAGCGAACGGG